Long non-coding RNA from Tympanuchus pallidicinctus (lesser prairie-chicken), 3279 nucleotides. RefSeq lists it as uncharacterized. The transcript is spliced from 2 exons. The record is from RefSeq and is a predicted model, not a curated record. Lineage: Eukaryota; Metazoa; Chordata; Aves; Galliformes; Phasianidae.
CCCGAUACCUUCUCUCCGGUGAGCACAUGCAGCCCCUCGCGGACCUUGGCGAAGGAGCCCUCUCCCAGCUUCCUGCCGAUCAGAUAGUGAAGAACACUGGGCCCAAGACUGACUGCUUUGAGGCACCACUUAAGACCAGCCUCCAUCUGGACAUGGAGCCAUUGAUCAGAACCCUCUGGCUGCACCUGAGCACAGAGGAAAAGCACAACCCUGUUGAAACAGCAGCAGGGUGUCUUCGGCAGGAGGAUUCACAAGGUAAGGAGGGCAUGAGAAGCAGGAGACCAUCGAGUGGCUUAGAUGAACAGCAAGAGCGGCUUAUACUGUUCAGAACUACACUGUUUAUGGCCUGGCUCCUGAGCUGCCCUGUCCUGGCCUCAGGACGCACAGAAAGGGACACAAAGCACUGCCAGUGUUCCUCGUGGCAUGGGGAGGGUUGUCAGGGACUGACUGUGCUAAAUGCACUGUCACCUUGUUGCCUGCUGCCCUGCAGGUGCUACCCAGGGUUAUCUUUAUUCUGUGGGACCAGGCACAAGCAGAGUGCUGGGUCUGUCUGAAGGAACACAGGCAGACGGAUAGAUAGAAGUAUAUGCCUUUGGGCUCACGGCUCCCACUCAGCUAACAGAAAUGCAGGUUUGGCCACUGUGAAGUUUAAACAGAUGUUAACGGCACAUGUUUUUCAGCCAAAACCUUGAAAAUCAGCCUCUCUUAAAAAUAAAACUGGUAAGAAGUGCCCAUUGCAGAAGGCAUUAGAAGAGCUCUGAAGCAACACAGUGACUACUUUUUUUUUUUAAUUUGCUCAGCUUGGGGGCUUAAUGAGUUGUCAAUGCCCUUUGAAAGAGGCGAGACUGCACUUUCCUCAUUGCUUCUCUCCUGUCCAGCUGUGCCCAUCAGGUUGCAGUCUGGAUGGAACGGGGAUCAAAGGCUGCAUUCAUUUCUAUCCACGCUUUAAUUUAAAUUUAACUCCAGCGUGCUUUAUUUUGAGCUGUAGUCCUUCUAGGUAAUGACAUUUUUCUGAUUAACUGCUGAAAUUACUAAUGAAUUAAAGGCAGCAGUCUGCCUUUGGGUUGCAAAAGCUGUAAUAACAAGCUGCUGAAAAUAAUUAAAAAUUGAUUUAAAUCCAUGAAAACACAGAAAUUUGGAAUUACCCUGGUGGUAUUGUCCUUGGUUGUCUGCAUCACUUGAAAAUAUUGUAGUAAUGCGUGUUAUCAGAGGGAAUUCUUCAGCCCCUCACAGGCCCCUGUGCCUGACCCCAGGGCCAAGAGGUGCCUCCUUCAUGGGGCUUAGCACUGAGGCUGAGCUCCCACGCUCUGCUGCUAUUCCAGGAGAGGAUGUGGCAGAGACAGGGCUGGAAAAUGCAAUACAGAAGCAAAACAUGGCCCUGCAAGGGGAAUAUUGUGACCCUGAAGGUUGCCUCACCUUGUGAUGCCUCUCCUGGAGCAGCUGCUGGUGGCAGCCUGCCAAGCAUUUCUCCCCAAAGCAUGGGGCUGUCACCAGGGGUGCUUGAGUUCUCCUUAUGCCUCACCUGCAUGUGCGAGCCAUAUUAAUUACUCUCACUUGUCUUUCUGAAGAGAUCUGAAGUCCUUGAGCAAAGGAAUGAAGAAAUUGCAGCUCUGCUCAGCAUCGUGGUGGUAAACGAAGAAGCAGGUAGACUCACCAGUUUGCUGCACAAGAGCAACAUGUAAAUUCUGUUCUGGUCAAGUUAAAAGCAGGACAGCUCCAUUUACCAUCAGCAGACAUUUGGAAGCCAAUGAUUGAAUGCUGAUUUCAGCCAGACUGUGGGAGAAACACUGACUUGGCACUAAUAACUUAUGUUAAAAACGUUAUGUUGUUAUUGCUCAUUGUCUCCUCAGUAUUUUUCUAUGCUUUAAAAUAGCACUUUGGGGUUUGGGUGGUUUUUUUGGACGAGUAUGUGCAUUUCUAAUAUUUGGGUUUCAGAUAUUACAGGGAUAUUAAUUUAAAACAACUUGUUUUAUUAUAUUUUUUGAGGAGUUAAUGUAUUAACGUUUGUUCUUGAAGGAUUUAUGAGCCAUGUUUUUUGCAGUAUUUAAAUCCCAGCCCAAGUUCAGACCGACGAGGCCCUUCUCUGCACACUGCCACCUCUGCAGUAAUGGAAUUACACAAUCAUGGAAUUGUUUGAGCUAGAAAGGAACCCUUAAAGGCCACCUGGACAAACUCCCCUGCAGUGAACAGGGACACCCACAGUUCCAUCAGGUGCUCAAAGCCCCGUCCAGCCUGACAUCGAGUGUCUCUGAGGAUGGGGCAUCCACCGCUUCUCUGGGCAACCUGUUCCACUGCCUUACCAUCCUUAUGGUAAAAAACUUCUUCCUUAUAUCCAAUCUAAAUCUCUCCUCUUUUAGUUUGAAGACGUGAGAUAAUGCACUCAGUCCAGCAAGGGUGCCUGUUACACUUCAGGACACAGCUCCUUCAGCGUAACAGAGUUCAGGAUCAUCUAAUAACAUUGUGACUUCUGUACCUGCAGACAAAUGCUGCAGAUACUGGCUAAUGUUCAGGGGUGUUGCUGCAUUCAUGGGGUCUUCUAACCAUAGAGAAUGAACGUGCUUCACCUUUCAAGGAUCAGGAAGGAGGCUUUCAUAGCUAAGCUUUCCUAAGUUUAAGUUUGUGCUUGAAAAAUAUCGAGCAAUGUUUGUCUUCAGAAAUAUUUCGCAUAUACAUAUGGAAAAGCAUCUGAAUAAGUAAACAGGGAGCACUGAAACUAUUUGCUGACUUUCACAGAAAUAUGUUAGCAAUGGGUUUAUCUCACACUGCUUCUCUGAGCACCAAAAGCUCCAGUUUUCCCAUGCUCCCACCGAAGUCUUCAGCUUGCUCUUUGCCUUGCAGCUUCUAUAACAAAGCUCUGUGCAGCUGAUACAAAAAUCAAGAGUGUGCAAUGACUUGGAGGCAUCAUCAAAUAAAUUGAAUUUGAUAUCAAAGGAAACAGCAGGAGGUCACUGUGUUGAUGUUGUUAGUCUUUCUCCUAUUCCAUUAAUUAAGAAACUCCAUGUUUUAAUUUAAACUAAACUGCUGUGAAACCCUUCUUGUGGUGCAUGGUGUUAAAAUGUAGCACAUUGAAUUUAAGCUUCAUUUACAUAUGAGAGAACACAAGAGUAUAGUAUAAUUAUGCCUAUCUGAAGUACAUUUUGUUUUCAAAAGCCUUUUCAUAUCAGUGAUGGAUGACAUGUAAAGAAUAAGGAAAUCAGACUUUUGUAAAUCUCUGGAAUGAGUAUAUCUUGUCAUACAGAAUUUCUCCUGAAGUUCACCAUGGCAAUUUUUACAAUAAUA